This 254-nucleotide ribosomal RNA is filed under the name uncultured bacterium. Its description in RNAcentral is "partial 16S ribosomal RNA". It matches the Rfam family "Bacterial small subunit ribosomal RNA", at positions 524 to 776 of the family's 1533-position model. The record is from RNAcentral.
GACGAACCGAGCGAACGUUGUUCGGAAUCACUGGGCUUAAAGGGCGCGUAGGCGGGUGCUCAAGUCCGGGGUGAAAUCCUCCAGCUCAACUGGAGAACUGCCUCGGAUACUGGGCGUCUCGAGUGUGGUAGGGGUGUGCGGAACUAUCGGUGGAGCGGUGAAAUGCGUUGAUAUCGAUAGGAACUCCGGUGGCGAAGGCGGCGACACUCGGACCACCACUGACGCUGAUGCGCGAAAGCCAGGGAGCAAACGGG